UACAAUUGUCAAUAUAAGUCUUCUAUACACUCAAGAAUUUUCAGCCCAAUCCAAUUUACAGAUUGUGAGAAAACCUCCAAAAAUUGUAGUGAUGUCACUCGGAUGCCAACUUGAAAAGUGAAGCAAAAAUCCCAGCCGUGAUUUCUCCUUUUUUAAUUGUUAACUUUGACUCAAAAUUGGUGUGCAACUUGAUCUUUAAGUCCUUCAAUACCAUGCCAAAUUUUAUCUUGAUCUAAUUAGCAGAUCUCCAGAUAUCAUAGAAAUCCUAUCCAACCCCAAACUGCUAGCUUUUGAAACCCUCUUGUACUAAAAAUCAGAUAUCUCUAAACUACACUAUUAGAUUAUUAAAAAAAAUUAUAUACACUUAGCACACCUAAUAAUCCAAAUAGUAUGAAUUUUUGAACUCUAGAUGUUAUAUCAAUUGUACAAAUUAGCCAAAAUUGCUAGUCCUAAUUAUAUUAUAUAAAACCCAAAUCACCAAUACAAACCUUGAUCUUGAACAACAAUUGCUAAGUCUUCAAAAAUCCUACCAAAAUAAUCCUUAUGCCUUUAAAAAGAGCUUCAAGCUAGCUCUCAAAUUCUAAUCUCUAAUCUUCAAAUGAAUUCCUAAUUUGUCCUAAGAAGUCAUUUUAGUGACGAGAGGUCUCAUUUCAACCCUGUCUCA
This 664-nucleotide long non-coding RNA is filed under the name Physcomitrium patens. Its description in RNAcentral is "long non-coding RNA (PPAT_LNC002883)". Lineage: Eukaryota; Viridiplantae; Streptophyta; Bryopsida; Funariales; Funariaceae. The record is from RNAcentral.